This is a long non-coding RNA of Panicum virgatum (switchgrass), 1195 nucleotides long. RefSeq lists it as uncharacterized. Lineage: Eukaryota; Viridiplantae; Streptophyta; Magnoliopsida; Poales; Poaceae. The transcript is spliced from 4 exons. The record is from RefSeq and is a predicted model, not a curated record.
GUCGCCGGGGGCCGCGCCACCGGAAGCUGCGUCGUUGGAGCCCCGACAAGCAAGUGCAAAUGGAGGUUCCCCGAUUUCUGAGUGAGAUUUUCCCCGAAAAGCAAGCUGAUCUUUCAUAGAUUCCUGAUGGGUAAGAUUUCUACCAUUUGUUCUAGGGUUAGGGCUAAAUGUGCUCGAUUCUGCUCCCUUUUGUAGUCGUGUUAUUUUUUUAUUGGCAAAAUUUGCUGCUUGGUAUGUAGGAUGGAUCCCAAUUCGUCCUACAAGCUAGCUGCUCGAGUAGGUGCUUAUGUAAAAUUUACUGAUGAUGAUGGUCGCCAAUAUUGUGAGGCAUGCAACAUUCCUAAGAUUCUAGACAGAGAUAGCACAAAUUAGAAUGAUUUGCUGCUUGAUAUUAGUGCAGAAAUUAAGCUUGGCUCUAAACACAAAUUGCGUGUCACAUAUUGGGAUAAUAUGAGCCGUAGUUAUGAAGAGAUCAAUUCUGACCAGAAAUUGCUUCAUGCUAUUGACAUGUAUUAGGAGUCAAGAAGGCUAUCCGUACAAGUUUGUGUUCUGAGAAAGGAUGAAUCAGAUGCUGUGCAUGAUGUUGGAUGGCUGGAGAGCAUGACUUGUUUGUUGCAAGGAAGCGCUGACAUCAUGUGCUGCUGAUCCACCACAAGAACAACCAUCACCUGUUGAACCAUUUGCUACACCAAAUAGACUUAUCCCUUCUGUUUCCACAUCAAGCCCUGUGACAAGAAGUAUGUCAAAAAGGUUGCAGCUAGAGCCAUCCACGCCAAGUACAACCAUCUCUCCUGUUCAAACACCUAGUCCGAUGACAAGGGGCCGCAAGAGGAUGCUGGAAUAUGAAGGCUCCAUACAGCCCAUUACCUGCUCAGCUCUAUCUCCAAUGUAUGUCGAUGAGAAGGGAAAGGCGAAAAAGCUAAAAGUAGUUAGGUCCAAGAAAAUGGAAAUGUAGGUUAUGUAGUAUUUUGUUGUAGGUCUAAUGUGGGCACUUGCUAGUAUCAGGAUAGCCAGAUGUGGCUCAAACAUUUCUUUUGGUUUGCUGGACCUCUAAGUUCUUUUUCUUUUACCAUGCUGUGUUCUAAGGGCAAAUUCUAUAACCCAAUGUGGCUAAACCUGCUAUUUUGUAUUUGUGAACUACAUGCUCAAAUGUCCAUUGAAAAUCUGUUAUAUUAGCCCUUUUAUAUUGCUCAAA